Schistocerca gregaria is the source of this 3164-nucleotide RNA transcript. It is a transcript of the gene named cytochrome P450 9e2-like, with no coding region annotated. Lineage: Eukaryota; Metazoa; Arthropoda; Insecta; Orthoptera; Acrididae. The transcript has 9 exons. The record is from RefSeq and is a predicted model, not a curated record.
UCAACUCGAGUCCGCCGGAGGUGCUGGCCGCCGCUGCAUCACUCCCAGGUCACCGCCGCAAAGACAAUGGCUUGUGACUGGUGGACGCUCUUUUGGUCGCUGGUGCUGGUCGCAGCCGCGCUGACUUUCUUCUGGUGGCGCCACUACUCCAGGAGGUUCUCCAGAGCCGGGGUCCCGUACACGCCACCGCUGCCCGUGGUGGGGAACACCCUGGACGUGGUGCUCAACAGGAAGGCCAUGGCGGACGUAGUAGUCGACGCGUACAGACGCUUCGAACCUCACCCCUACGCUGGGUUCUACACUUUUGCGAAGUCUCUGGUCUUGCUGAGGGAUCCUGAUCUCAUCAGGUCCGUCACAGUCAAGGACUUUGACCACUUCACUGACCACGUGGACUUCAUGAACACCGACGAGGACACUCCAGUGCUACUGCGGAUGUUGUUUCUCAUGAAAGGAAAAGAAUGGCACGAAAUGCGGACGACACUAAGUCCUGCAUUCACAUCGAAGAAAAUGAGAAACAUGUUCGUGCUGAUAACAGAGAUAGGGCAGCAGAUGGUAGAUUACAUAACAAAGGAAUGUGACAAAGUCGAAGUUUCUUCUGGAGAAAAACAGGUAUUGACACUGGAGAUGAAGGACCUGUUCACACGUGUGACCAACGAUGUCAUUGCGACGACAGCGUUUGGAGUAAAGGUGGACUCUUUGGCAGAACCAAACAACACAUUCUACACAAUGGGCCGUGAGCUGACAACCAUCAAACCAGCGAUCGUAAUGGGAUACACGUUAGCUCCGAAACUUAUGCGGUUAUUAGGUGCAAAGUUCAUUGACGCGAAAAUAGUGGAGUUCUUCAGGACCAUGUUGACCGAGACUAUGAAAGCGCGAGAGGAGCAGGGCAUCGUGCGCCACGACAUGAUCCACCUCAUGAUGCAGGCCCGCCGCGGAGAGCUGGCGCCUGAGGAAGGGGAGGCGAACGGCGCCAGCCAGAGCAAGGGGCGGCACCUCACUGAUGAUGAUAUCACGGCGCAGACGAUCAUAUUUUUCUUCGGCGGCUUCGACACCGUGUCGACACUGCUGACCUUCUGCAGCUACCUACUGGCCACGCACGAGGAUGUGCAGCGGCGGCUGCAGAGGGAGGUGGACCAGCUGAUGCAGAAGAGCGCGGGGCAGCCCAGCUACGAGCAGGUCCUGGGCUGCCAGUACCUCGACAUGGUGCUCUCUGAGACGCUACGCAUGUACCCGCCUAUCCCGGCCCUGGACCGCACGUGCGUGCGCCCCUACAGGCUGCAGGCCGCUGGGAGCUGCCCUGGCCUCCAGCUGCGGCCCGGAGACGGCGUCUGGAUCCCCGUGCGCGGCAUCCACCACGAUCCCAAGUACUUCCCAGACCCGGAACGUUUCGACCCCGAGCGCUUUAGUCCGGAGAGGAAGCAUCUCAUCAAGCCGUUCACCUACUUCCCGUUCGGGUCUGGACCUCGCAUUUGCAUUGCCCAGAGAUUCGCGCUGAUGGAGUCCAAGGUGGUGCUCGUCCAGCUGCUGUCCAGGUUCAGCCUCCAGGCGGUCGCCAAGACGCCGGUGCCGCUCAGACUCCAGCCGGACAGCACCACACUCUCCGUCAAGGGCGGCGCCUGGCUCGGGAUCCGAAGCAGGGUCUAGGCCAGCGCCCCAGCCGCUCCUCACGACACAAACGUUACUCGCACAUGUAAAAAGUACUGUGCCUGUGAAAUCGUACAUGUCACAGCAAAACGGUUGCUACAUCACAGACUGAUUUUUGGUCUCGUGGAACCGAAUAUUUUUUCGACUCAUCAGCCACAUUCUUAGCUGUUUUGUCUUUAGCAGGAACAGCCCAGACAAAUUUCGAAAAUACGUCGUUAACAGUCAAUAAAUAUUUAUAUCCUUUGUUUAUUUUAGAUAUUCAUUUCAACUUCCCUGAUUCCAUGUCUAUUAAGUCGGCUUGCCAUAAAUAAUAUAUACCGAGAGAAAUUACAUUUCUUCAUGUAAAAUUCUUUUUCAUUAGUUUAUGUAAUUCAUUAUUAAUUUCUUCAAGAAAAUUAUAUAGACCUUUGCCUACAAUUUUUUUGACGAAUUUACUUUUCUUCUUUUUACAAACUGUGUAAAGUCUGUUUUUAAUCUAUAUGGAUUAUGUGUAUCAGUAAAUUUUUACACUUCAAGCAAUAAAUGUGAUAGUCAUGCAAAGUGUAGUUGUUCAUUUAUAUAGAUAAAAAAUUUAAUUAAGUUUAAAUUAAUCUAAUGUUUCCAAUACUUCUAGAUCAUUACCUACUUUUUUGUCCAAGCACUUUUAUAUUUGGAUUCUGAUGAUUUAACAUAACUUUCUACAGAAUCAAUUUUAUUUAAAGCAUUAAUAAGAUUUCUUUUAAAAUCGUUUAUUUCUUUAUUAUUAUGUGUCAUAAUACCAUCUAUAAUACUAUUUCUUUUCUUUAAGUCUAAAAGAAACUUGUUAUAUUCUUCUUUAUUAAUAUAGAUAUUAAAUUGCAUUAAAACACUUGUGUGUUCUGGUUUUAUAAAAAUUUUUAUAGUAUAUUAACAAAAUAAUGUUUGUUAGCUACAUCUUUUCCAUCAAUUGGAUCAUUUACAUUAGCAAGUCUUCUGCCUUUAAAACCAAUAUAACCUUUAGUUAGCUUAAAAAUAGCAUUAAAUUCUUUUUGAAAUUGUUUAAUUGCAUUAGUUCUCUUUGGAUCAAAUUGUUUAAUCAAAUUUCCAAUUUUUCUUAAUCGAAUGUAGAUGUAUUAACUACAUGUUCACUUUGAUGUAUCUUAUUUCCAAAAAUGUCCAUUUAUUAAAUCUAAAACAUCAUUAAAUUAUAAUAUUCACAAAGCAAUUUUCUGUAUCGUAAAUAAUUCGAUUUUUCCUAAGUAGUUAAAUAAUUGUUUUGGUAUAUUACCACCAACUGAAUCAGAAACAACUAUUUUAUUUUUUAUUUUGUAAUAACAAAUGCAGUGUGUACCAGGAUUAUCAGAUGUAUAUAAAUUUACUAUACCAUAUUCAGCUUUAAAUGGCUUAUUUUGUAAUUCAUUAAUCAUAUAUAAACCACAAAAAUGUUUAAUUUUUAGUUGUUUAGUAAGUUCCUCUAUAUCAAAAUUACUUAAUACAACAGGAUAUUUAUUAAUUACUUUUUCGAAUUUUUUUUUAUUUCAGUUCCUGCUUUCUUUUCCAAU